Molecule: RNase P RNA, 393 nt
Filed under: Candidatus Yanofskybacteria bacterium RIFOXYA1_FULL_44_17
Lineage: Bacteria; Candidatus Yanofskyibacteriota
Also listed under: 7 other names
Description: RNase P RNA component class A
Rfam family: Bacterial RNase P class A
About the family: Ribonuclease P (RNase P) is a ubiquitous endoribonuclease, found in archaea, bacteria and eukarya as well as chloroplasts and mitochondria.
Source: RNAcentral
CUCGUAAACUAAGCAAUCGCUCUUAUCGCAAGAUAGGGGAGGAAAGUCCGAGCACUACUCCGCGAGCGUAAGCGAGCGGAUAAAACGGUAGCGGGUAACGCCCGUCGCUAGUAAUAGUAGAGGUGCGAGCAGAGACGUCUUGCCUCGAAAGGGGCGGAAGAUUAAACCCAAGUUUUUGCCAAAUUGUCAGAAACUAAUGUCUAGCCUUGAUUCGGGUGAAUAAGAUCAAGGGUGAAACGGCUAAAUCCUUACUGGGGUGCAAGAUCAGCGUUUCCGGCUUCGGCAACCGCUGGAGCCGGAUUCGAAAAGUUAGAUCGCUCGAGCUUAUUGGUAACAAUGAGCCCAGAUAAAUGAUUGCUCUCGACAGAACUCGGCUUACUGUUUACGGGGACA